Molecule: non-coding RNA, 1884 nt
Organism: Gasterosteus aculeatus aculeatus (three-spined stickleback)
Lineage: Eukaryota; Metazoa; Chordata; Actinopteri; Perciformes; Gasterosteidae
Source: the annotation of a RefSeq genome assembly
UCCUUCAAUUAUGAACAACAACAAAUAUACGGGAGUCAGUUUGCUCAAAGUACCAAAGUCUGACUGGAAUUUAAGGCACUCUUUUGAAUGUUCUGUGACGCACGCAGGAGGAUCAAGAAGUGUGACUUUGGGAAAAAAGGCCUCUUGUUCUAUGAUAAGAAAUAUCACAAUGACACUGAAACCAACAUGGGAAGUCCCAAAGACAUUUUCAUCAACAACCAGGCAAAGUUUGAGUGCAAGAUUAAUGGACCGGACCAGAACACCAUAAAUGAAAUGAAAUUCACUUGGCAAAUAAAUGGAGCUGAUGUGACGAAGAACAGCAGUGAAACAACAGACUCCACAGGGAGCAAAAUCAGCACGUUGACUCGCGACCGCUCUGAAUGGCAGACAAUCGACAACGUGCGUUGUUCUGCUAAGGGCCCAAAAACACACGUUUCUAAAGAUCUGCAUAUCAACAAAGGAGAUAAUGAACCAAAAGUAACCGUCCACGUCCUCCCAGAGGAAGACGUCAAGGAUGGAGCUGAGGUCACUCUGUUGUGUCUGGUCUCUAGCCGGGAACCGCAGGAUUUCUACAUCGCCUGGUUAGAAGAAAAUGGAUCGAAUGUCAGCGUCUAUAACGAUGGCAUCGACUUCCCCUCUAUGAAGACUGAUGAGCGCUACUCAGUUACGAGUCUUUACACCACCUCCUUGAAAAAGUGGAACAAUGACGUCAAGUUCACCUGCAAGGUGUGGCCUGGUGGCAAAACGCAGAGAGAUGUGUCUAAGAUGGUGUUUAGAUCAACUCAAUCUUUUAAACUGCGUGUCGCUAUGAGCUGCACAGAUGAUGCCAUUGAUGAGGACGAGUACAGCAGCCUGUGGUCCACCACCUCCUCCUUCAUAUUCCUCUUCAUAUCCUCUCUCAUUUACAGCAUGGUAUUCAGCCUGGUCAAGAUGAAGAGGCCAUGAGAUGAGAUUGAUGCAUAACAUGGACUUCACGUCUUCAUUUGUCUUCUAAGUAUUUUUUCUGGUUUUAAAAACAUUUAAUUGUGUGCUAGUUUUAAUGAUCAUUAUAUACAUAUUUUUAUUUAACUAUGUCACUCAAAAUAGAUUUUUCUGUGACCUGUACCAAAUAAAAGAUACAAUUGUAAUUGGUAGUCAUUUAGAUGAAUAGAUUCCCUGCAUUGGCUUCUGUUCUUGCAUUAUGAAUAGAAAUGUUGUACAUUCACUUUCUUGAAAACUUAAAUAUUAUGUGUUGGUAAAGUUUUACAAAUGUUCAUUGCCACAUAAAUAUCAAAUUGCACUGUAGUUGAGAUGUUUGUAACUUUGUCUGAUGUCAUUAUGUUGAACAAUUUGCUUUAAACACAUUUAACAGAUAUAAUAUUUACAGUGGUAUGGACAGACACAUACAAGCAUACAAGAAAACUUCGACAGUUAUUUUGUGGGUUUCAUUUCUAAACAUAUCAUCUUUAGAGAGUCCCCCCCCCCUCAUUGUCCACCUCAGGGACCCCACACCUGUUGUAGUGAAACUACAGAGCUACAAAUAAGCUUCCUCAAAACAAGAGAGCCAUCUUCCCCUGCAUGUAUUUGCAUGUCAGCAUACAACAAGGCAAUAUGUGGCUUACAUGCAAAAGAUCUGUGACAUUACAUGCAGGGUUAGAAAUAUAUAUUGUAAGAACAUGAAGAGUCCAUCUUCAAAUUGUAUGGCAGUUAAAAUAUUACUUGGGAAGUUGCACCUGAAUGAAGAUACAGCAGAGGAAUUCAUGAAGAAACACUGAUGCAUGUAAGAGUGUCAACAAAAUGUGUUGCUUUUAGGCACAUUAAUUGUAUCAUUUAUUCAAAUUAUUCUUUCAUGAAAUAUGUAAAUAUAUAUAUGAAUAAAAUGACAGCUAUUUUGAAGGAUUCAUA